This 274-nucleotide ribosomal RNA is filed under the name uncultured bacterium. RNAcentral describes it as "partial 16S ribosomal RNA". It matches the Rfam family "Bacterial small subunit ribosomal RNA", at positions 523 to 796 of the family's 1533-position model. The record is from RNAcentral.
AUACGGAGGGUCCGAGCGUUAUCCGGAAUCAUUGGGUUUAAAGGGUCCGUAGGCGGGAAUCUAAGUCAGUGGUGAAAUCUUGCAGCUCAACUGUAAAAUUGCCAUUGAUACUGGAUUUCUUGAAUUAGUGUGAAGUGGUUAGAAUGUGUAGUGUAGCGGUGAAAUGCAUAGAUAUUACACAGAAUACCAAUUGCGAAGGCAGAUCACUAACACUAUAUUGACGCUAAGGGGCGAAAGCGUGGGGAGCGAACAGGAUUAGAAACCCCAGUAGUCC